Molecule: ribosomal RNA, 114 nt
Filed under: Vicugna pacos (alpaca)
Lineage: Eukaryota; Metazoa; Chordata; Mammalia; Artiodactyla; Camelidae
Source: RNAcentral
GUCUACAGCCAUACCACCCUGAAGGCGCCCGAUCUCGCCAGAUCUUGGAAGCUAAGCAGGGUCGGGCCUGGUUAGUACUUGGAGACCACAUGGGAAUACUGGACACUGUAGGCU